RNAcentral lists this ribosomal RNA (441 nucleotides) under uncultured bacterium. Its description in RNAcentral is "partial 16S ribosomal RNA". It matches the Rfam family "Bacterial small subunit ribosomal RNA", at positions 338 to 795 of the family's 1533-position model. The record is from RNAcentral.
CCUACGGGUGGCAGCAGUGGGGAAUAUUGCACAAUGGGGGAAACCCUGAUGCAGCGACGCCGCGUGAGUGAAGAAGUAUCUCGGUAUUUAAAGCUCUAUCAGUAGGGAAGUAAAAAGACGCUACCUGACUAAUAUGUCUCGGCUAACUACGUACCAGCCGCCGCGGUAAUACGCAGGAGGCAAGCGUUAUCCGGAUUUACUGGGUGUAAAGGGAGCGUAGACGGAUGUGCAAGUCAGAAGUGAAAGCCCAGGGCUCAACCCUGGGACUGCAGUGGAAACUGGGAAGCUAGAGUGCUGUAGAGGUAAGUGGAAUUCGUGGUGUAGCGGUGAAAUGCGUAGAUAUUAGGAAGAACACCGGUGGCGAAGGCAGCUUACUGGACAGUAACUGACGUUGAGGCUCGAAAGUGUGGGGAGCAAACAGGAUUAGAUACCCUAGUAGUC